AUUUGUUUAAUUAUGGCAAUAGAAAGUUAGUUUCUAUUUACUGCAUAAAACUAUAAUUUAUUGAGAUAGAUAUUAGCUUAGAUUUGAUUAAGUUUAAUUAGCAGUUAUUUUUUUGUUAAAAUCAAUGUUUUAUAAGAAUAGAAGCUAAAAAGGGGAUAGGUCACAGUGCCAGCAUCUGCGGUUAUUCUGUUUUCUUUGCUUUCUAGUAGAAUAUAUAUUUAAUUAUUAACUUGAAAAAUUAGGUUAAAUUUUUUUUUGGUUGAUGUUGAAUAGUUAAGUUUAAGGAAAGUUUGGUUUAUGACAGGGAUUAGAUACCCCAUUAAUAUUUUCUUAAUUUGAUCUUAGUUAAAUAACUAAAAUAAUUUGGCAGUGAGUGAUUCUUAUUAGGGGAAGGUGUAAUAUAAAGGAUGAUCCGCCUAAUAAUUUACUUUUAUUAUGUUGGUGUAUAUCUGGUUUAAUAUUAUCGUUUAGUAAGUAUAGGUUGUGUAAGUUUAUUUAAGCCAAGUCUAUGUGCUGUUUAUAGAAGUAUUUAUGCGUUACAUUGAUAAGGUGCCUGGUGUAAUAUAGGUUAAUUUAGGACUUAAUAGUAAUAUUAAAUAAGUUUGUUGAUAUGAAGUAAGUUUAGCUCAUGUACACACCGCCCGUCACCCUCGAUUAUUAUUGAGGUAAGUCGUAACAAGGUAACUUUAAAUGAAUUUGAAGUUAGUUACUGGAUUUAGUACCAGUUGUA
Molecule: non-coding RNA, 730 nt
Filed under: Hydatigera parva
Lineage: Eukaryota; Metazoa; Platyhelminthes; Cestoda; Cyclophyllidea; Taeniidae
Source: RNAcentral